This 253-nucleotide ribosomal RNA is filed under the name uncultured bacterium. RNAcentral describes it as "partial 16S ribosomal RNA". It matches the Rfam family "Bacterial small subunit ribosomal RNA", at positions 524 to 776 of the family's 1533-position model. The record is from RNAcentral.
UACGUAGGGUGCAAGCGUUAAUCGGAAUUACUGGGCGUAAAGCGUGCGCAGGCGGUUAUGUAAGACAGUUGUGAAAUCCCCGGGCUCAACCUGGGAACUGCAUCUGUGACUGCAUAGCUAGAGUACGGUAGAGGGGGAUGGAAUUCCGCGUGUAGCAGUGAAAUGCGUAGAUAUGCGGAGGAACACCGAUGGCGAAGGCAAUCCCCUGGACAUGUACUGACGCUCAUGCACGAAAGCGUGGGGAGCAAACAGG